AUAAAUUAAAUUUAAUCUUUGAAAUAGUGUUGUUUAUAAAGUGAAAUGGAAAAGAAAAACCCUUCAAGGUGCUGCCUUUAUAAUCUAUUUAUACCAUGCAAUAUGCAGUAUCCAACUUUCAUGUGUCUGUUGAGUAACAAAAGAGAAGAGAAAUGGAGAGAGAAGACCAAAGCCAAAGUGCAUAUCUUCAGUCUCCAUUGAUUCAGCACUCAUAUUCAUCAGGGCAGGGUGANNN
Molecule: long non-coding RNA, 235 nt
Filed under: Vigna radiata
Lineage: Eukaryota; Viridiplantae; Streptophyta; Magnoliopsida; Fabales; Fabaceae
Description: long non-coding RNA (VRAD_LNC000223)
Source: RNAcentral